CUACUCCUCUUUCAUAUUGGUUGGCCAAAAGGUGAGAGAGUCUCAAGGAAAUAAGGCACUAUAGACCAAUUUCAAUUUGUUUAAAUUGGGUUCAAUUCGAAUCUAAUUCGAAUCAAAUUCGAAAAAACUAUUAAUCCAAAUCUUAUUAAAAUUUAGGUCCAAGUCUAACUUGGAUAAUUAAUCCAAUUAGCCUAAAAUCAAAUCAAACCCAAUUAAAUUAGAUCUAAUCUAAAAUAAUUAGGACUUGAAUCUAAUCUCUCAAUUUUUUUUGGAUCACGGAU
RNAcentral lists this long non-coding RNA (281 nucleotides) under Elaeis guineensis (African oil palm). RNAcentral describes it as "long non-coding RNA (EGUI_LNC072304)". Lineage: Eukaryota; Viridiplantae; Streptophyta; Magnoliopsida; Arecales; Arecaceae. The record is from RNAcentral.